AAGCUUCUCAAAGCUUUCAUGGUGUAGCCAAAGUCCGUAUGAUUCUUUGGCUUUGAUCUUCUAACAAGGAAACACUUCUUAGGCUUAUAAGAUCGAGUUGCGGUUUAAGUUCUUAUACUCAAUCAUACACAUGACAUCAAGUCAUAAUCGAUUGCAAAACACUAACCAACCUUCUUCUUGCGCCUCA
Molecule: small RNA, 187 nt
Filed under: Arabidopsis thaliana (thale cress)
Lineage: Eukaryota; Viridiplantae; Streptophyta; Magnoliopsida; Brassicales; Brassicaceae
Description: ATSL267790
Source: RNAcentral